This 441-nucleotide ribosomal RNA is filed under the name uncultured bacterium. RNAcentral's name for it is "bacterial SSU rRNA". It matches the Rfam family "Bacterial small subunit ribosomal RNA", at positions 26 to 507 of the family's 1533-position model. The record is from RNAcentral.
CGAGGACGAACGCUGGCGGUGUGCUUCACACAUGCAAGUCGAACGAGGUAGCAAUACCUAGUGGCGGACGGGUGAGUAACGCGUGGGAAUCUGCCUUUAGAUGGGGGAUAACGGGUCGAAAGACUCGCUAAUACCGCAUAUGACGAAAGUUGAAAGGAGUAAUCCGUCUAAAGAUGAGCCCGCGUCCGAUUAGCUAGUUGGUAGAGUAAAAGCCUACCAAGGCGACGAUCGGUAGCUGGUCUGAGAGGAUGAUCAGCCACAAUGGGACUGAGACACGGCCCAUACUCCUACGGGAGGCAGCAGUGGGGAAUUUUACGCAAUGGGCGAAAGCCUGACGUAGCGACACCGCGUGAGCGAAGAAGCCCCUUGGGGUGUAAAGCUCUGUCAGCUGGAACGAAAAAAAUGACGGUACCAGCAGAGGAAGCAUCGGCUAACUACGUG